RNAcentral lists this non-coding RNA (28 nucleotides) under Bombyx mori (domestic silkworm). Lineage: Eukaryota; Metazoa; Arthropoda; Insecta; Lepidoptera; Bombycidae. The record is from RNAcentral.
UAUUGAUGAAGUGCUCACAGGCUUAAAU